AUUAUCAAAAUCGGAGUUAAAAUAACCGUUAAAUCGUGAUUUUUCGUUUAUAACCGUCGAAAAUUUUUGUCCUGUUACUUGAUCUCUGAAUGUUUGUUUUUUUCAAUUUUUGGCGUAUGCGAUCUCGAAGUAUAUACAAACAUGUUUGACGGUUGGAUCAUUGAAACUAGUUUCGUAGAAUGCGUAUCCCAUCAAAACAAUAGAUUCACUAACACUUAAGAAUUUAUUCAUACUUUCAUCAAGUAUAACAUAAGAUUUUGUGGUAUCCCCUAGUGUAAAUAUUUUAAAUUGAAGAUCGAAUUCAUUCAUUGUAUUCAUAUAGGGUCAUGGAGUGUAGAUGUAAAAAAUCAUCAAAAUCAGAGUUAAAAUAACCGUUAAAUCGUGAUUUUUCGUUUAUAACCGUCGAAAAGUUUUGUCUCGUUACUUGAUCUCUGAAUGUUUGCUUUUUGCAAUUUUUGGUGUAUACGAUCUCGAAGCAUAUACAAACAAGUUUGACGGUUGGAUCAUUGAAACUAGUUUUGCAAAAUGCGUAUCUCAUCAAAACAAUAAAUUCACUAACACUUAAAGAGUUUAUUCAUAUUUUCAUUAAGUAUAACAUAAGAUUUGUGGUAUCCACUAGUGUAAAUAUUUUAAAUUGAAGAUUGAAUUCAUUCAUUGUAUUCAUACAGGGUCAAGGAGUGUAGCUGUAAAAAAUUAUCAAAAUUGGAGUUAAAAUAACCGUUAAAUCGUGAUUUUUCGUUUAUAACCGUUGAAAGGUUUUGGCUCGUUACUUGAUCUCUGAUUGUUUGUUUUUUUCAAUUUUUGGCAUAUGCGAUCUCGAAGUAUAUACAAACACGUUUGACGGUUGGAUCGUUGAAAUUAGUUUCGUAGAAUGCGUAUCCCAUCAAAACAAUAGAUUCACUAACACUUAAGAGUUUAUUCAUACUUUCAUCAAGUAUAACAUAAGAUUUUAUGGUAUCCCCUGGUGUAAAUAUUUUAAAUUGAAGAUCGAAUUCAUUCAUUGUAUUCACAUAUGGUCAAGGAGUGUAGCUGUAAAAAAUCAUCAAAAUCGGAGUUAAAAUAACCGUUAAAUCGUGAUUUUUCGUUUAUAACCGUCGAAAGGUUUUGUCCCGUUACUUGAUCUGUGAAUGUUUUUUUUUUUGUAAUUUUUUGCUGAUGCAAUCUCGAAGCAUAUACAAAUAAGUUUGACGGUUUGAUCGUUGAAAUUAGUUUCUUAUAAUUCGUAUCCUAUGAAGUUCAAUGGUGUGUGUGUGUAUAUAUAUAUUUAUUUAUUUAUUAAGUAGAUUUAAAUCUAUUUAUCUUGUAUGUAUAAUUAUUAUAGUUUUUAGGGGUAUAAAAUUUAAUAUAUAUAUAUAUAAAUAUAACUAUUAUAGUUAAUAUUUUGGGAGUAUAAUUAUUA
RNAcentral lists this long non-coding RNA (1399 nucleotides) under Malus domestica (apple). Its description in RNAcentral is "long non-coding RNA (MDOM_LNC009324)". Lineage: Eukaryota; Viridiplantae; Streptophyta; Magnoliopsida; Rosales; Rosaceae. The record is from RNAcentral.